This 628-nucleotide long non-coding RNA is filed under the name Nicotiana benthamiana. Its description in RNAcentral is "long non-coding RNA (NBEN_LNC010610)". Lineage: Eukaryota; Viridiplantae; Streptophyta; Magnoliopsida; Solanales; Solanaceae. The record is from RNAcentral.
UAAUAAUAUGUGAAACUUAAAGCCUUUUUAUGAAAACCACACGAAGUUUAGGCUAGGCGUGGUGCGUAUGGAUAAACUGAGUCGUGGGCUGCAUAUGCAAUGAAAUCUGGACAUGGCCACAGCAACUCUCGCCUCCCACCACCUCCAUUUCUGCUUCUCCAAAUUUUCAAUUACUAACAGAAGAAGACAAGUACGGCUAACUUAUCCAAACAGAAAUCCUCUUUCAAUAGUCUUUUGUUCUUCUUCUACUUCGCCCCCUCCGCCAUCAGAAAUCAGUGAACCCAGUACUCCCACUGCGGAGUCUUGCGUCAAUGUGGGCCUUGACCUCUUUUCUAAAGGACGGGUAUUUUCCUACUUCUUUUCUCAGUUUCAUUGCUGUAAUUCCUCUAUUUAUUGAUAUUCUUGGUGUUGUAGACAUAAAAUGAAUAAAUCGAAGUUCUUUUUGUUAGUAUUAAUUUCAGGUGUUUUCACUAAACUUUACCCAUUGUAUCAUAAAAGUGGCAAUUUCCCAUUGAGUGAAUCUUAUGGUGACAGACUGACAAUUGCACUCCUGCUGGUCAGUGAACCCAGUACGCCCACUGCCGAGUCUUGCGUCAAUGUGGGGCUUGACCUCUUUUCUCAAGGACGG